GGCAAGAUGGCCGAGCGGUCUAAGGCGCUGUGUUAAGGAAUCUCUUCGAUCCUCGACGAUUCGCAGUUCUUCGGAGCAUGGGUUCGAAUCCCAUUCUUGUCA
This is a non-coding RNA of Jaminaea rosea, 102 nucleotides long. The record is from the annotation of a RefSeq genome assembly. NCBI's taxonomy places the organism in Eukaryota, Fungi, Basidiomycota, Exobasidiomycetes, Microstromatales.